Neocallimastix californiae is the source of this 72-nucleotide transfer RNA. It matches the Rfam family "tRNA". From Rfam's summary of the family: Transfer RNA (tRNA) molecules are approximately 80 nucleotides in length. Their secondary structure includes four short double-helical elements and three loops (D, anti-codon, and T loops). The record is from Rfam. Lineage: Eukaryota; Fungi; Neocallimastigomycota; Neocallimastigomycetes; Neocallimastigales; Neocallimastigaceae.
GGCUCAAUGGUCUAGUAGUAUGAUUCUCGCUUCGGGUGUGAGAGGUCCCGGGUUCAAUUCCCGGUUGAGCCC